GAUGAACGCGGGCGGCGUGCCUAACACAUGCAAGUCGAACGGGAUGCGUAUCGGAAAAGCUUCGGCCGGAAGAUACGUUAUCUAGUGGCGGACGGGUGAGUAACACGUGGGUAACCUGCCUUAUGGAGGGGGAUAACAGAGAGAAAUCACUGCUAAUACCGCAUAAGCACACAGUACCGCAUGGUACAGGGUGAAAAGAUUUAUCACCAUAAGAUGGACCCGCGUCUGAUUAGCCAGUUGGCAGGGUAAAAGCCUACCAAAGCAACGAUCAGUAGCCGAUCUGAGAGGAUGACCGGCCACAUUGGGACUGAGACACGGCCCAAACUCCUACGGGAGGCAGCAGUGGGGAAUAUUGCACAAUGGGGGAAACCCUGAUGCAGCGACGCCGCGUGAGUGAAGAAGUAUUUCGGUAUGUAAAGCUCUAUCAGCAGGGAAGAUAAUGACAGUACCUGACUAAGAAGCCCCGGCUAACUACGUGCCAGCAGCCGCGGUAAUACGUAGGGGGCAAGCGUUAUCCGGAUUUACUGGGUGUAAAGGGAGCGUAGACGGAGUGGCAAGUCUGAAGUGAAAACCCUGGGCUUAACCUAGGGACUGCUUUGGAAACUGUUAAUCUAGAGUGUUGGAGAGGUAAGUGGAAUUCCUGGUGUAGCGGUGAAAUGCGUAGAUAUCAGGAAGAACACCGGAGGCGAAGGCGGCUUACUGGACAAUAACUGACGUUGAGGCUCGAAAGCGUGGGGAUCAAACAGG
Molecule: ribosomal RNA, 747 nt
Filed under: uncultured Oribacterium sp.
Lineage: Bacteria; Bacillati; Bacillota; Clostridia; Lachnospirales; Lachnospiraceae
Description: bacterial SSU rRNA
Rfam family: Bacterial small subunit ribosomal RNA
Source: RNAcentral